Molecule: ribosomal RNA, 292 nt
Filed under: uncultured eukaryote
Lineage: Eukaryota
Description: partial 18S ribosomal RNA
Rfam family: Eukaryotic small subunit ribosomal RNA
Source: RNAcentral
GGUUGAUCCUGCCAGUAGUCAUAUGCUUGUCCUAAAGAUUAAGCCAUGCAUGUCUAAGUAUAAACACGUUGUACUGUGAAACUGCGAAUGGCUCAUUAUAUCAGUUAUAAUUUAUUUGAUAGUCUCUUUACUACUUGGAUAACCGUGGUAAUUCUAGAGCUAAUACAUGCAAAAAGCCCGACUUUUCGGAAGGGCUGUAUUUAUUAGAUUAAAAACCAACAUGCUUGGUGAUUCAUAAUAACUGUGCGGAUCGCAUGGCCUUGUGCUGGCGACGUUUCAUUCAAAUUUCUGC